UACGUAGGGUGCAAGCGUUGUCCGGAAUUAUUGGGCGUAAAGAGCUCGUAGGCGGUCUGUCGCGUCUGCUGUGAAAACUCGGGGCUUAACCCCGGGCCUGCAGUGGGUACGGGCAGACUAGAGUGCGGUAGGGGAGACUGGAAUUCCUGGUGUAGCGGUGGAAUGCGCAGAUAUCAGGAGGAACACCGAUGGCGAAGGCAGGUCACUGGGCCGCAACUGACGCUGAGGAGCGAAAGCAUGGGGAGCGAACAGG
This 253-nucleotide ribosomal RNA is filed under the name uncultured bacterium. RNAcentral describes it as "partial 16S ribosomal RNA". It matches the Rfam family "Bacterial small subunit ribosomal RNA", at positions 524 to 776 of the family's 1533-position model. The record is from RNAcentral.